UGGUGACCUUCGAGAGGCCUGAUUCUCGAGUCACCGUUCCCAGAUGCCAGACAGACAGGGGGAGCCUCGCCCAGGCCAGUCAGCUGCGGGUGGCACCGGAAUCCAGCCCCUGCCUGCAUCCGCUCCUGGGAGAGAUGACGGGGAAGCAGCUCUGGAGUCCU
Molecule: long non-coding RNA, 161 nt
Filed under: Chinchilla lanigera (long-tailed chinchilla)
Lineage: Eukaryota; Metazoa; Chordata; Mammalia; Rodentia; Chinchillidae
Description: lncRNA (ENSCLAG00000023812.1)
Source: RNAcentral